Molecule: ribosomal RNA, 497 nt
Filed under: uncultured bacterium
Lineage: Bacteria
Description: partial 16S ribosomal RNA
Rfam family: Bacterial small subunit ribosomal RNA
Source: RNAcentral
GAUGAACGCUGGCGGCGUGCCUAAUACAUGCAAGUCGAGCGAACAGACGAGGAGCUUGCUCCUCUGACGUUAGCGGCGGACGGGUGAGUAACACGUGGAUAACCUACCUAUAAGACUGGGAUAACUUUGGGAAACCGGAGCUAAUACCGGAUAAUAUAUUGAACCGCAUGGUUCAAUAGUGAAAGACGGUUUUGCUGUCACUUAUAGAUGGAUCCGCGCCGCAUUAGCUAGUUGGUAAGGUAACGGCUUACCAAGGCGACGAUGCGUAGCCGACCUGAGAGGGUGAUCGGCCACACUGGAACUGAGACACGGUCCAGACUCCUACGGGAGGCAGCAGAAGGGAAUCUUCCGCAAUGGGCGAAAGCCUGACGGAGCAACGCCGCGUGAGUGAUGAAGGUCUUCGGAUCGUAAAACUCUGUUAUUAGGGAAGAACAAAUGUGUAAGUAACUAUGCACGUCUUGACGGUACCUAAUCAGAAAGCCACGGCUAACUACGUG